This is a non-coding RNA of Schistosoma rodhaini, 45 nucleotides long. The record is from Rfam. NCBI's taxonomy places the organism in Eukaryota, Metazoa, Platyhelminthes, Trematoda, Strigeidida, Schistosomatidae.
AUCCAGCAGACGAGUUGUAAAUGGGAUGAAACGCGCGUCCUGGAU